GGACAAGUGAAUAAGUGCACAUGGCGGAUGCCUUGGCGAUUACAGGCGAUGAAGGACGUAGUAGCUUGCGAUAAGCUGCGGGGAGCUAGCAAACAAGCUUUGAUCCGCAGAUUUCCGAAUGGGGAAACCCGGCCCUUUGGGUCAUCACCCACUGAAUACAUAGGUGUGUGAAGCGAACGCGGCGAACUGAAACAUCUAAGUAGCUGCAGGAAAAGAAAUCAACCGAGAUUCCCAAAGUAGUGGCGAGCGAAAUGGGAAGAGCCUGUACGUGAUAGUCAGUCUGAUAGAAGAACGAAUUGGAAACUUCGGCCAUAGCGGGUGAUAGCCCCGUAUUCGAAAUCAGGUUGGUGGUACUAAGCGUACGACAAGUAGGGCGGGACACGAGAAAUCCUGUCUGAAUAUGGGGGGACCAUCCUCCAAGGCUAAAUACUCGUAAUCGACCGAUAGUGAACCAGUACCGUGAGGGAAAGGCGAAAAGAACCCCGGGAGGGGAGUGAAAUAGAUCCUGAAACCGUGUGCAUACAAACAGUAGGAGCCUCCUUGUGGGGUGACUGCGUACCUUUUGUAUAAUGGGUCAGCGACUUACAUUCAGUGGCAAGGUUAACCGAAUAGGGAAGCCGUAGAGAAAUCGAGUCCGAACAGGGCGACAGUCGCUGGGUGUAGACCCGAAACCAAGUGAUCUACUCAUGGCCAGGAUGAAGGUGCGGUAACACGCACUGGAGGUCCGAACCCACUAAUGUUGA
Molecule: ribosomal RNA, 743 nt
Filed under: Duganella sp. SG902
Lineage: Bacteria; Pseudomonadati; Pseudomonadota; Betaproteobacteria; Burkholderiales; Oxalobacteraceae
Description: partial 23S ribosomal RNA
Rfam family: Bacterial large subunit ribosomal RNA
Source: RNAcentral